UACGGGGGAUGCAAGCGUUAUCCGGAUUUAUUGGGUUUAAAGGGUGCGUAGGCUGUGAGGUAAGUCAGCGGUGAAAUGCCCCCGCUCAACGGGGUGAAGUGCCACUGAUACUGCCUUGCUGGAAUGCGGAUGCCGUGGGAGGAAUGUGUGGUGUAGCGGUGAAAUGCAUAGAUAUCACACAGAACACCGAUUGCGAAGGCAUCUCACGAAUCCGCUAUUGACGCUGAUGCACGAAAGCGUGGGUAUCAAACAGG
Molecule: ribosomal RNA, 254 nt
Filed under: uncultured bacterium
Lineage: Bacteria
Description: partial 16S ribosomal RNA
Rfam family: Bacterial small subunit ribosomal RNA
Source: RNAcentral